GAUGAACGCUGGCGGCGCGCCUAACACAUGCAAGUCGAACGAUUAAAGCACCUUCGGGUGUGUAUAAAGUGGCGAACGGCUGAGUAACACGUGGGCAACCUGCCCCUUUCAUUGGGAUAGCCACGGGAAACCGUGGAUAAUACCCAAUACUUCGAGACUUCCGCGUGGAAGACUCGAGAAAGCUCCGGCGGAGAGGGAUGGGCCCGCGGCCUGUUAGCUUGUUGGUGGGGUAACGGCCUACCAAGGCAAUGAUGGGUAGCUGGGUUGAGAGACCGACCAGCCAGAUUGGGACUGAGACACGGCCCAGACUCCUACGGGAGGCAGCAGUGGGGAAUCUUGCACAAUGGGCGAAAGCCUGAUGCAGCGACGCCGCGUGCGGGAUGAAGGCCUUCGGGUUGUAAACCGCUUUCAGCAGGGACGAGGCGAAAGUGACGGUACCUGCAGAAGAAGCCCCGGCUAACUACGUG
Molecule: ribosomal RNA, 467 nt
Filed under: uncultured bacterium
Lineage: Bacteria
Description: partial 16S ribosomal RNA
Rfam family: Bacterial small subunit ribosomal RNA
Source: RNAcentral